RNAcentral lists this ribosomal RNA (497 nucleotides) under uncultured bacterium. Its description in RNAcentral is "partial 16S ribosomal RNA". It matches the Rfam family "Bacterial small subunit ribosomal RNA", at positions 28 to 507 of the family's 1533-position model. The record is from RNAcentral.
GAUGAACGCUGGCGGCGUGCCUAAUACAUGCAAGUCGAGCGAACAGACGAGGAGCUUGCUCCUCUGACGUUAGCGGCGGACGGGUGAGUAACACGUGGAUAACCUACCUAUAAGACUGGGAUAACUUCGGGAAACCGGAGCUAAUACCGGAUAAUAUAUUGAACCGCAUGGUUCAUUAGUGAAAGACGGUUUUGCUGUCACUUAUAGAUGGAUCCGCGCCGCAUUAGCUAGUUGGUAAGGUAACGGCUUACCAAGGCGACGAUGCGUAGCCGACCUGAGAGGGUGAUCGGCCACACUGGAACUGAGACACGGUCCAGACUCCUACGGGAGGCAGCAGUAGGGAAUCUUCCGCAAUGGGCGAAAGCCUGACGGAGCAACGCCGCGUGAGUGAUGAAGGUCUUCGGAUCGUAAAACUCUGUUACUAGGGAAGAACAAAUGUGUAAGUAACUAUGCACGUCUUGACGGUACCUAAUCAGAAAGCCACGGCUAACUACGUG